UACGUAGGUGGCAAGCGUUGUCCGGAUUCAUUGGGCGUAAAGGGUGCGUAGGCGGCGCGGUAAGUCGGGUGUGAAAUCUCGGGGCUUAACUCCGAAACUGCAUUCGAUACUGCCGUGCUUGAGGACUGGAGAGGAGACUGGAAUUUACGGUGUAGCGGUGAAAUGCGUAGAUAUCGUAAGGAAGACCAGUGGCGAAGGCGGGUCUCUGGACAGUUCCUGACGCUGAGGCACGAAGGCCAGGGGAGCAAACGGG
This 253-nucleotide ribosomal RNA is filed under the name uncultured bacterium. RNAcentral describes it as "partial 16S ribosomal RNA". It matches the Rfam family "Bacterial small subunit ribosomal RNA", at positions 524 to 776 of the family's 1533-position model. The record is from RNAcentral.